This 450-nucleotide ribosomal RNA is filed under the name uncultured bacterium. Its description in RNAcentral is "partial 16S ribosomal RNA". It matches the Rfam family "Bacterial small subunit ribosomal RNA", at positions 28 to 507 of the family's 1533-position model. The record is from RNAcentral.
AGCGAACGCUGGCGGCAUGCCUAACACAUGCAAGUCGCACGGGGGGGCUUCGGCCUCCCAGUGGCGGACGGGUGAGGAACGCGUAGGGACCUGUCGAGGGGUGGGGGAUAACCGCGGGAAACUGCGGCUAAUACCGCAUGACGCCGCGGCGUGACAGCCGGGGCCAAAGGCGAAAGCCGCCCGCCGAGGGGCCUGCGUCCGAUUAGCUGGUUGGCGGGGUAGCGGCCCACCAAGGCGUCGAUCGGUAGCUGGUCUGAGAGGGUGAUCAGCCACACCGGGACUGAGACACGGCCCGGACUCCUACGGGAGGCAGCAGUGGGAAUAUUGGACAAUGGGCGCAAGCCUGAUCCAGCAAUGCCGCGUGGGUGAAGAAGGUCUUCGGAUUGUAAAGCCCUUUCGGCGGGGACGAUGGUGACGGUACCCGCAGAAGAAGCCCCGGCUAACUUCGUG